GCAUUAAUGGGGUAGUGGUAACCUGGGUCGUUGCCAUAUGCAUCGACGGAAUUAGAGCAUUCUGGUUCGACCCGCCGGGGGUUCGAUUCCCCCUUAAUGCA
Molecule: non-coding RNA, 101 nt
Organism: Termitomyces sp. T159_Od127
Lineage: Eukaryota; Fungi; Basidiomycota; Agaricomycetes; Agaricales; Lyophyllaceae
Source: the annotation of a GenBank genome assembly